GACGAACGCUGGCGGCGUGCUUAACACAUGCAAGUCGAACGGAAAGGCCCUGCUUUUGUGGGGUGCUCGAGUGGCGAACGGGUGAGUAACACGUGAGUAUCCUGCCCUUGACUUUGGGAUAACUUCAGGAAACUGGGGCUCAUACCGGAUAGGAGCUCCUGCUGCAUGGUGGGGGUUGGUAAGUUUCGGCGGUUGGGGAUGGACUAGCGGCUUAUCAGCUUGUUGGUGGGGUAGUGGCUUACCAAGGCUUUGACGGGUAGCCGGCCUGGGAGGGUGACCGGCCACAUUGGGACUGAGAGACGGCCCAGACGCCUACGUGAGGCAGCAGUGGGGAAUAUUGCACAAUGGGCGGAAGCCUGAGGCAGCAGCGCCGCGUGCGGGAUGACGGCCUUCGGGUUGUAAACCGCUUUCGCCUGUGACGAAGCGUGAGUGACGGUAAUGGGUAAAGAAGCACCGGCUAACUACGUG
Molecule: ribosomal RNA, 468 nt
Filed under: uncultured bacterium
Lineage: Bacteria
Description: partial 16S ribosomal RNA
Rfam family: Bacterial small subunit ribosomal RNA
Source: RNAcentral